GAGUGUAUAGUUCAGUGGCAGAGCAUGUGCUUAGCGUGCACAAUUGAACCCAGCGUUGUCCUGGGUUCAAUGCCCAGUACCGCCA
This 85-nucleotide transfer RNA is filed under the name Camelus bactrianus (Bactrian camel). It matches the Rfam family "tRNA". From Rfam's summary of the family: Transfer RNA (tRNA) molecules are approximately 80 nucleotides in length. Their secondary structure includes four short double-helical elements and three loops (D, anti-codon, and T loops). The record is from Rfam by way of RNAcentral. RNAcentral also lists the same sequence under 2 other names. Lineage: Eukaryota; Metazoa; Chordata; Mammalia; Artiodactyla; Camelidae.